This 468-nucleotide ribosomal RNA is filed under the name uncultured bacterium. Its description in RNAcentral is "partial 16S ribosomal RNA". It matches the Rfam family "Bacterial small subunit ribosomal RNA", at positions 28 to 507 of the family's 1533-position model. The record is from RNAcentral.
GACGAACGCUGGCGGCGUGCUUAACACAUGCAAGUCGAACGGAAAGGCCCUGCUUUUGUGGGGUGCUCGAGUGGCGAACGGGUGAGUAACACGUGAGUAACCUGCACUUGACUUUGGGAUAACUUCAGGAAACUGGGGCUCAUACCGGAUAGGAGCUCCUGCUGCAUGGUGGGGGUUGGAAAGUUUCGGCGGUUGGGGAUGGACUCGCGGCUUAUCCGCUUGUUGGUGGGGUUGUGGCUUACCAAGGCUUUGACGGGUAGCCGGCCUGAGAGGUUGGCCGGCCACAUUGGGACUGAGAGACGGCCCAGACGCCUACGGGAGGCAGCAGUGGGGAAUAUUGCGCAAUGGGGCGAAGCCUGAUGCAGCGACGCCGCGUGCGUGAUAACGGCCUUCGAGGUGUAAACCGCUGUCGCCUGUGAUGAAGCGUGAGUGACGGUAAUGGGUAAAGAAGCACCGGCUAACUACGUG